Molecule: RNase P RNA, 424 nt
Filed under: Haloarchaeobius iranensis
Lineage: Archaea; Methanobacteriati; Methanobacteriota; Halobacteria; Halobacteriales; Halorubellaceae
Description: Halobacteriaceae archaeon EB21 Archaeal RNase P
Rfam family: Archaeal RNase P
About the family: Ribonuclease P (RNase P) is a ubiquitous endoribonuclease, found in archaea, bacteria and eukarya as well as chloroplasts and mitochondria.
Source: Rfam by way of RNAcentral
GGUAGAGAGAGCCCGGCCGCCGCGACGUGGCCCUGCCACGACGUGAGGAAAGUCCCCCCACCGUCCGGACAGGUGGCCGGACGCAAGUCCGGAGCGGGAGACCGCUGGCUCUGGAACAGAAACGAGACCCCUCGCCCCGAGCGAUGAGGCGCGGACGGUGACGCGAGUCACCGCCCGGCGCGAACGGCGUGAGCCGCGAGCGCGCGAACCGACCCGCAAGGGAAGGAAGCUGACCCGCCGAGCGCGUGUGGUCGCAUCCGCGACCACGCCCGGGCACGCGGCGCAGCCGCGUGUCGACGGGCGAGAACGGAUGGAACGGCGAAUCCCCACCGGUGCAAGUCCGCGCCGCUAGGUAGUCCGGACGAGGCGACGGACGCUCAGCCGAAUGCCGGGACGAACAGAAGGGGGCUUACUCCUCUCAACC